RNAcentral lists this ribosomal RNA (627 nucleotides) under uncultured eukaryote. RNAcentral's name for it is "SSU rRNA". It matches the Rfam family "Eukaryotic small subunit ribosomal RNA", at positions 610 to 1145 of the family's 1831-position model. The record is from RNAcentral.
UUGUUGCGGUUAAAACGUUCGUAGUUGAAUUUGUGUCCCACACGGGUAAUUGGCCCACUUACGGGUUCUUAUUACUUGCCGGCUUGCUGGCUUUAGUGUGCGGACGUUUUACCGGUGAGGGAAACGGUGUAGUUUCGGCUGCAAUACGCCCCUUAUUUAUUUCAUAAACCCGUCUUGGUGCUUUUAAUCGAGUGCCAAUGUGGGCCGGUACUAUUACUUUGAACAAAUUAGAGUGCUUAAAGCAGGCUAAAUUUAAUGAAAGUUAAAACGCCUGAAUAUAUUUUGCAUGGAAUAAUGGAAUAGGACCUCUGUUCUACUUUCAUUGGUUUUUAGACCAAGAGGUAAUGAUUAAUAGAAGCAGUUGGGGGCAUUAGUAUUACGAGGCGAGAGGUGAAAUUCGUAGACCCUCGUAAGACUAACUUAAGCGAAAGCAUUUGCCAAGGAUGUUUUCAUUAAUCAAGAACGAAAGUUAGAGGAUCGAAGGCGAUCAGAUACCGCCCUAGUUCUAACCAUAAACGAUGCCAGCUAGCAAUUGUAUGUAGCUACUAAUUUUGGUUCAUACAGUCGCUUUCCGGGAAACCAAAGCUUUUGGGCUCCGGGGGAAGUAUGGUUGCAAAGCUGAAACUU